AACAAGAGAGGUAAAAAUUUAUAGUUAGUUGAAAGUUAAUUGAAAUUUUAUUAUAAAUCUAAUUAGAUUAAAUUUUUAGGUGAAAUUUUAUUUUAUGAUGGUGUGGUUUUUAGAAUUAUGUAAUGAAGCUUAGAAAGUUAUAAUAAAAACUA
Molecule: ribosomal RNA, 152 nt
Filed under: Ephoron shigae
Lineage: Eukaryota; Metazoa; Arthropoda; Insecta; Ephemeroptera; Polymitarcyidae
Description: partial 12S ribosomal RNA
Source: RNAcentral